Molecule: ribosomal RNA, 253 nt
Filed under: uncultured bacterium
Lineage: Bacteria
Description: partial 16S ribosomal RNA
Rfam family: Bacterial small subunit ribosomal RNA
Source: RNAcentral
UACGUAGGGUGCAAGCGUUGUCCGGAAUUAUUGGGCGUAAAGAGCUCGUAGGCGGCUAGUCACGUCGGAUGUGAAAACCCGAGGCUCAACCUCGGGCCUGCAUUCGAUACGGGCUGGCUAGAGUACUGCAGGGGAGACUGGAAUUCCUGGUGUAGCGGUGAAAUGCGCAGAUAUCAGGAGGAACACCGGUGGCGAAGGCGGGUCUCUGGACAGUAACUGACGCUGAGGAGCGAAAGCGUGGGGAGCGAACAGG